GGGUGGUAAUUCCGGAUGCUCCGACUCCUCGCAUGGGGUGUCGGGAAAGAUUUCAUCGGUAUGGGAUGGGGUCGCGUCCUAUCAGGUAGUCGGCGGGGUAACGGCCCACCGAGCCUACGACGGGUAGCCGGCCUGAGAGGGCGACCGGCCACAUUGGGACUGAGAUACGGCCCAGACUCCUACGGGAGGCAGCAGUGGGGAAUAUUGCACAAUGGGCGCAAGCCUGAUGCAGCGACGCCGCGUGCGGGAUGACGGCCUUCGGGUUGUAAACCGCUUUUGAUCGGGAGCAAGCCUUUGGGUGAGUGUACCUUUCGAAUAAGCACCGGCUAACUACGUGCCAGCAGCCGCGGUAAUACGUAGGGUGCAAGCGUUAUCCGGAAUUAUUGGGCGUAAAGGGCUCGUAGGCGGUUCGUCGCGUCCGGUGUGAAAGUCCAUCGCUUAACGGUGGAUCUGCGCCGGGUACGGGCGGGCUGGAGUGCGGUAGGGGAGACUGGAAUUCCCGGUGUAACGGUGGAAUGUGUAGAUAU
Molecule: ribosomal RNA, 527 nt
Filed under: Bifidobacterium pseudocatenulatum
Lineage: Bacteria; Bacillati; Actinomycetota; Actinomycetes; Bifidobacteriales; Bifidobacteriaceae
Description: bacterial SSU rRNA
Rfam family: Bacterial small subunit ribosomal RNA
Source: RNAcentral